Molecule: long non-coding RNA, 2109 nt
Organism: Thunnus maccoyii (southern bluefin tuna)
Lineage: Eukaryota; Metazoa; Chordata; Actinopteri; Scombriformes; Scombridae
Exons: 3
Source: RefSeq, a predicted model, not a curated record
UCAUCAGCAGCAUUCUCUUCUUCAACAUCCAGCAUCUCCUGCAGAUCUCCUGCAUCAGGAGAUAUUCAAGCUCAGAGAGCCAAUUGGCCUCACUGAGUCCUGAUGAGGACCUGGACUCUGUGUUUGAAUCACAGGCUACUGUCCAGAACACAUGCAGGGCUGCUAACUAAGGUUUCAUGUAAUAUGACAGACUGCUGUUUCAUUCUACGUCAGCUCAGGCAAGAAAAGUCAUUUCAGUUGAUCUUAGAUGGGGCUUAUAUUGCAGUAGUAUAACCAGGGGAAGCCAACACAUCCAUGGUGCCAACAUGUUUUCUGCUGCACACCCCGCUGCUCCAGACCGACAGGAGGCACUCUGUCUGUCAACACCCCACCCCGCCCCAACAUCACAUCAUCAUCAUAUCCAGAGGCAGGGCAGGGUGAGGAUAUGAGGAGGAGGGUUAGGCCCAGCUGACCGAUGCCCUUUCAUUAUUGCACUGCUUGCUGCAGCUCCCACAGUAGUGCAACAGGGAAAGAGUGUCAAGCAGAGAGCGUCCUGUGAGUUUCAUCCUGGGUGACAAAGUGCAACCUGAGGACCAGAAUUCCCUCUUCAACCCGCCUGGGAGCAGAAAUCCCUCUGAUGGUCACCACUAAAUCAUCAAGUGGAGUUCUGUUUACUACUCGUUUCAGUACUUGGUGAAUCAGAAUACUGCAACUCUUUGGGAUUUUGGACUCAGUCAUUGUUUCAGAAGCAGGAAAUCUGAGACAGAAUUGUGACAUUAACAUGGUUUCAUGUUUUUGCUCCUUGGCUUCUGCAUUUUAUGCAAAUGUUUCAUUGCAAAGAAAACUUUGGUGAGUAAUGAGUGGUCUGUACAGGAGCAGACUGAGCUGACAACAGGCAUCAGAGGAUACAGCUGUACAAGCUGAACACCACAUCCUGACACAGCGACACAUACUAUUACCUUCAUCAAUAGUAUAAUGAUUUCACAGCACUGCUUCCAAAAAGUGACGUCUAUUGAGCAGUUUUUAAGCCUUUGCAAAAUACAUCAGUGAUAAGCUUUAAAAGUGCUAUGAACAUGUGCGAGUGCAUUGUUUUCAUUUUGAUUUUGUCUGAAAUGACUCUCAAUUUGAAUGAAGAUUUAAAACAUUUUUAGUGUUAUAAAAGUAAAGCUGCUGCAUUACAUUAGGACUUUUUAAAGUAUUUUAAGGGUCAGUUCAUGCAAAUGACAAAACAUAUUUUUUUUACUUUCCUCUUGAGUUAUCUAGCCAUGCAGGUAAUCUCGUCUUGUUUUGCCCACAUUUUGAGAUUUCUGUCUCCACCCCAAUAUAAUGGAGGCAAAUGAUUGUUUGUGCCACUUACAGCAUCAAAAUGAUUUUUUCUUUUCAAAAAUGUGUCUUUGUUCCUCUACUAUAGUGGUUCCCAACCUUGUGAAAAAAUCAUGGACAACAAUGACUUUAUCAUCCUAUCCCUGACAGAGUCUGAUAUGUUGUAUUUCAAAAUAUAGUAGUGUUGUCAAUAAACCUCAACCAGGGGUCAGAAGGGGAUUGUGAGGUGAUUCCUGGGAGUAGAAAAUAAGAAAAUCAAAAUCCUUCGUCAAAAAAAUUACAUUAUCUAAUACAUACAGUUCUCUUUUUUCUUAUAAAGUACUGUAUAGUUUUACCUCGUGAGCCUAAAAAUUAUUCAAAUUACAUACUCUAAUACGGAGCUGUUCUUAAUUCUCAAAUACAUGCACUCAGUAUAUUCCUGUGUAUGAAGGGCUCACAAAUAAAAAGCAGUUGGGAACCACAGCUCUACUAUUUUCAUAAUGGGACACUGUUUCUAGAGAGAGAUAUUGCUGUUGAAUCUUUUUAAAUAUCAUUUUUCAAUGCUGUGAAAAUCAUUGAAAAAUUGAGGUGAAGACCGAUGAGACAGAUACCUCAAAACCUGGACAAACCAUGGUUACAUGCAACAAUAGAGGUGAGACAGAAAUGUUUUUAUUAUAAUUGAGGUGAACCGACUCUUUCAGUGUUCGUAUCGUAUUUAUGUUUUUUUGAUUGUGUGGAUGUGAAUUAGGAAUUCCAAACGACUGACUUAUUUUGUGAGAUGUUUCCAAUAAGCACGUUAAUGAAUAAACAGCUAUGCAGGGACUCUUA